UACGUACGAGGCAAGCGUUAUCCGGAAUUACUGGGCGUAAAGCGUGCGCAGGCGGUUCUCCAAGUCCGUUGUGAAAGCCCCGGGCUCAACCUGGGAAUGGCAGUGGAAACUAGGGGACUGGAAUCUGGCAGAGGGGGGUGGAAUGCCGCGUGUAGCAGUGAAAUGCGUAGAGAUGCGGCGGAACACCGAUGGCGAAGGCAGCCCCCUGGGCUGAGAUUGACGCUCAGGCACGAAAGCGUGGGGAGCAAACAGG
RNAcentral lists this ribosomal RNA (253 nucleotides) under uncultured bacterium. Its description in RNAcentral is "partial 16S ribosomal RNA". It matches the Rfam family "Bacterial small subunit ribosomal RNA", at positions 524 to 776 of the family's 1533-position model. The record is from RNAcentral.